Molecule: transfer RNA, 733 nt
Filed under: Nocardioides sp. SP12
Lineage: Bacteria; Bacillati; Actinomycetota; Actinomycetes; Propionibacteriales; Nocardioidaceae
Description: 16S-23S rRNA intergenic spacer
Rfam family: tRNA (bases 236-309)
Source: RNAcentral
UGCGGCUGGAUCACCUCCUUUCUAAGGAUAGCGGCGGUCAAGCGCUUCGGACUUCGGUCUGGAGAAGAGCUUCCUCCCAUUCCAGAGAACAUAUGCCGCCGUCCUCAUGUCCUUCAUCCUGGUUAGUCCGCGAGACGAAAUAGCGUCAGCUAUUUUGCACGCGGACAAGCUCGGCCAGCGCGGCGAAGCGCGCCAUAGGGCGCAGCUUUGCUGCGACUGACGGCGCGACGGGUGCGGGCCGGUAGCUCAGGUGGUUAGAGCGCACGCCUGAUAAGCGUGAGGUCGUAGGUUCAACUCCUACUCGGCCCACCAUCGCGAGUGAGGGGCUUUAGCUCAGCUGGGAGAGCGGUUGCUUUGCAAGCAUCAGGUCAUCGGUUCGAUCCCGAUAAGCUCCACCACUUGCCAUCAAAACCUAGAGAUGAAGACAACAGUUCCGCUGUCGCAAGGCAGCGGUAAUGGGUCGUGACGACCCUCUUUGACAUUGUGAAUGGGUUCUUAAAAUCGAUGCCGUGAUGGUGUCGGUUUGGACAAACGACCAUCUGGGUCGGCCGCAAGGCUGGCGCGGGUGAGCGUCUCCAGGCUGACUUCAAUCACUUAAUAUCUGGCUGAGAUGAUUAACAUCCACAUCAGCUGAGCCGCUCGGCGGCACGCUUCAUGCGUGUCGACGUGAGGCCAGUUAAAAACCACGCUCGCUGCUCUGCCGAGUUGGUGUUCCGCAAGGAAUGCCCAGCGU